GAUGAACGCUGGCGGCGUGCCUAAUACAUGCAAGUCGAGCGAACGGACGAGAAGCUUGCUUCUCUGAUGUUAGCGGCGGACGGGUGAGUAACACGUGGAUAACCUACCUAUAAGACUGGGAUAACUUCGGGAAACCGGAGCUAAUACCGGAUAAUAUUUUGAACCGCAUGGUUCAAAAGUGAAAGACGGUCUUGCUGUCACUUAUAGAUGGAUCCGCGCUGCAUUAGCUAGUUGGUAAGGUAACGGCUUACCAAGGCAACGAUGCAUAGCCGACCUGAGAGGGUGAUCGGCCACACUGGAACUGAGACACGGUCCAGACUCCUACGGGAGGCAGCAGUAGGGAAUCUUCCGCAAUGGGCGAAAGCCUGACGGAGCAACGCCGCGUGAGUGAUGAAGGUCUUCGGAUCGUAAAACUCUGUUAUUAGGGAAGAACAUAUGUGUAAGUAACUGUGCACAUCUUGACGGUACCUAAUCAGAAAGCCACGGCUAACUACGUGCCAGCAGCCGCGGUAAUACGUAGGUGGCAAGCGUUAUCCGGGAUUAUUGAGCGUAAAGCGCGCGUAGGCGGUUUUUUAGUCUGAUGUGAAAGCCCACGGCUCAACCGUGGAGGGUCAUUGGAAACUGGAAAACUUGAGUGCAGAAGAGGAAAGUGGAAUUCCAUGUGUAGCGGUGAAAUGCGCAGAGAUAUGGAGGAACACCAGUGGCGAAGGCGACUUUCUGGUCUGUAACUGACGCUGAUGUGCGAAAGCGUGGGGAUCAAACAGGAUUAGAUACCCUGGUAGUCCACGCCGUAAACGAUGAGUGCUAAGUGUUAGGGGGUUUCCGCCCCUUAGUGCUGCAGCUAACGCAUUAAGCACUCCGCCUGGGGAGUACGACCGCAAGGUUGAAACUCAAAGGAAUUGACGGGGACCCGCACAAGCGGUGGAGCAUGUGGUUUAAUUCGAAGCAACGCGAAGAACCUUACCAAAUCUUGACAUCCUUUGACAACUCUAGAGAUAGAGCUUUCCCCUUCGGGGGACAAAGUGACAGGUGGUGCAUGGUUGUCGUCAGCUCGUGUCGUGAGAUGUUGGGUUAAGUCCCGCAACGAGCGCAACCCUUAAGCUUAGUUGCCAUCAUUAAGUUGGGCACUCUAAGUUGACUGCCGGUGACAAACCGGAGGAAGGUGGGGAUGACGUCAAAUCAUCAUGCCCCUUAUGAUUUGGGCUACACACGUGCUACAAUGGACAAUACGAAGGGCAGCGAAACCGCGAGGUCAAGCAAAUCCCAUAAAGUUGUUCUCAGUUCGGAUUGUAGUCUGCAACUCGACUACAUGAAGCUGGAAUCGCUAGUAAUCGUAGAUCAGCAUGCUACGGUGAAUACGUUCCCGGGUCU
This 1371-nucleotide ribosomal RNA is filed under the name uncultured bacterium. RNAcentral's name for it is "bacterial SSU rRNA". It matches the Rfam family "Bacterial small subunit ribosomal RNA", at positions 28 to 1381 of the family's 1533-position model. The record is from RNAcentral.